This 328-nucleotide ribosomal RNA is filed under the name uncultured eukaryote. Its description in RNAcentral is "partial 18S ribosomal RNA". It matches the Rfam family "Eukaryotic small subunit ribosomal RNA", at positions 1470 to 1796 of the family's 1831-position model. The record is from RNAcentral.
CCCUUAGAUGUCCUGGGCCGCACGCGCGUUACACUGAUGCAUUCAACGAGCUUAUAACCUUGGCCGAGAGGCCUGGGCAAUCUUGUUAACGUGCACCGUGAUAGGGAUAGAUUAUUGAAAUUAUUAAUCUUGAACGAGGAAUUCCUAGUAAACGCAGAUCAUCAAUCUGCAUUGAUUACGUCCCUGCCCUUUGUACACACCGCCCGUCACACCUACCGAUUGGAUGGUCCGGUGAAGCCUCGGGAUUGUGGUUCUUGCCGCUUUAUUGUGGCGUGACCGCGAGAACUUGUCUAAACCUUAUCAUCUAGAGGAAGGUGAAGUCGUAACA